ACGUCGUUAUCACUGCGUUAUGUCUGAAAUUGUCGGCGUGCACUUCUCCCCUAGUAGGACGUCGCGACCCGUUGGGUGCUGGUCUACGGCCCGGUAGGUCGUCUGACGCGUUUACAAUCAACCGUUUACGUGUCAGACCUCUGGAUGCCCGACCGGCUGCCCGGCGGUAUAGAACGAUAAUUAACGGUAUUGAGCCGCAUUAAGUGCGUUCAGGCUUGUCGGCAGGCUCGCCUCGCUCGGAUUUACGGACCUAGCGCCGUUGCCGGGUGCUUGGUGUGGCUGUGGCCGAUGAUGUCCUCGGACUGGCUCUUUAUAUUCGAACGGAUAUACCGGUCGGCGACGCUACUGCUUUGGGUACUUUCAGGAC
RNAcentral lists this ribosomal RNA (367 nucleotides) under Encarsia singhiellae. RNAcentral's name for it is "eukaryotic LSU rRNA". Lineage: Eukaryota; Metazoa; Arthropoda; Insecta; Hymenoptera; Aphelinidae. The record is from RNAcentral.